GCACAGGUGCUGCAUGGCUGUCGUCAGCUCGUGUCGUGAGAUGUUCGGUUAAGUCCGCUAACGAGCGCAACCCUCGCUGUGUGUUUAUAUUGUGUUCACACGGGACUGCCGGUCUUAAGCCGGAGGAAGGUGGGGAUGAUGUCAAGUCAGCAUGGCCUUUAUAUCCUGGGCUACACACACGCUACAAUGGCCAACACAAUAGGUUGCUAAGCCGCGAGGUGGCGCCAAUCCAUAAAGUUGGUCUCAGUUCAGAUUGUAGGCUGCAACCCGCCUGCAUGAAGAUGGAGUUGCUAGUAACCGCAGGUCAGCUAUACUGCGGUGAAUACGUUCCCGGGGCUU
This 339-nucleotide ribosomal RNA is filed under the name uncultured Leptolinea sp. RNAcentral's name for it is "bacterial SSU rRNA". It matches the Rfam family "Bacterial small subunit ribosomal RNA", at positions 1032 to 1382 of the family's 1533-position model. Lineage: Bacteria; Bacillati; Chloroflexota; Anaerolineae; Anaerolineales; Anaerolineaceae. The record is from RNAcentral.